This 377-nucleotide unclassified non-coding RNA is filed under the name uncultured Actinomycetes bacterium. Its description in RNAcentral is "uncultured actinobacterium contains 16S-23S intergenic spacer region". Lineage: Bacteria; Bacillati; Actinomycetota; Actinomycetes. The record is from RNAcentral.
UCCGAGUUGACCCCGGCAGUCUCCUAUGAGUCCCCACCAUUACGUGCUGGCGACAUAGAACGAGGGUUGCGCUCGUUGCGGGACUUAACCCAACAUCUCACGACACGAGCUGACGACAGCCAUGCACCACCUGUACACCGACCACAAGGGGGCCCCUGUCUCUAGGGGUUUCCGGUGUAUGUCAAGCCUUGGUAAGGUUCUUCGCGUUGCGUCGAAUUAAGCCACAUGCUCCGCCGCUUGUGCGGGCCCCCGUCAAUUCCUUUGAGCUUUAGCCUUGCGGCCGUACUCCCCAGGCGGGGCGCUUAAUGCGUUAGCUGCGGCACGGAAACCUGGAGAGGUCCCCACACCUAGCGCCCAACGUUUACAGCGUGGACUAC